AUUUAAUGGAGAUGAUGCUGUACAAGAAUGUCACCUUAUUGUAAAUGGGCUAUUCAACGGGACAAAGAUGUUUGUAUCAGAAAAAAAGGAGACCGCAUCUGGAGAUGUUGACAGCUUCUAUAACUUUGCUGAGAUCCAGAUGGGGAUAUGAAGCGGAUUGUGGUAUUAGCCUCUUCCAACCUUUAUAUAGACAGUUUGAUAAUAUACUUAUGUAUGUUAGUCAUUUAGCAAUUAGUAUUU
Molecule: long non-coding RNA, 240 nt
Filed under: Rattus norvegicus (Norway rat)
Lineage: Eukaryota; Metazoa; Chordata; Mammalia; Rodentia; Muridae
Description: long non-coding RNA NONRATT030845
Source: RNAcentral